Molecule: ribosomal RNA, 207 nt
Filed under: uncultured bacterium
Lineage: Bacteria
Description: partial 16S ribosomal RNA
Rfam family: Bacterial small subunit ribosomal RNA
Source: RNAcentral
CACGUAGGCGGAUAUUUAAGUCAGGGGUGAAAUCCCAGAGCUCAACUCUGGAACUGCCUUUGAUACUGGGUAUCUUGAGUAUGGAAGAGGUAAGUGGAAUUCCGAGUGUAGAGGUGAAAUUCGUAGAUAUUCGGAGGAACACCAGUGGCGAAGGCGGCUUACUGGUCCAUUACUGACGCUGAGGUGCGAAAGCGUAGGGAGCAAACA